UACAGAGGUCUCGAGCGUUAGGCGGAAUCACUGGGCUUAAAGCGUGUGUAGGUGGAUCGUUAAGUACCUUGUGAAAUCCCACGGCUUAGCCGUGGAACUGCUUGGUAUACUGGCGGUCUUGAGCCACUUAGGGGCUACCGGAACAAAUGGUGGAGCGGUGAAAUGCGUAGAUAUCAUUUGGAACGCCAAUGGUGAAAACAGGUAGCUGGGAGUGUGCUGACACUGAGACACGAAAGCCAGGGGAGCAAACGGG
This 253-nucleotide ribosomal RNA is filed under the name uncultured bacterium. Its description in RNAcentral is "partial 16S ribosomal RNA". It matches the Rfam family "Bacterial small subunit ribosomal RNA", at positions 524 to 776 of the family's 1533-position model. The record is from RNAcentral.